This is a long non-coding RNA of Dreissena polymorpha, 1497 nucleotides long. RefSeq lists it as uncharacterized. The record is from RefSeq and is a predicted model, not a curated record. The transcript has 3 exons. Lineage: Eukaryota; Metazoa; Mollusca; Bivalvia; Myida; Dreissenidae.
UUUGCGAAUCUGAAACAACUUUUUUUAAUUUUGUCAAUUUACCAAACCGUGAAAAGAUCCCUUUAAAUUAACGAUUUAUUCUCACGUUCUGUAUUAACCCAGCCAAACAUUUCAUUUCACAAAGUUAACAAAGCCCGUAGUUAAUAUUUUAUUCAUUAGUAAUAUUCAAUAAACAGUUCUAGCGAGGCUAAAUAUUCAUGUUUCAGAUGCUAACAAAUGGAAUGUUGAAUGCUUAGAGAAUCACACGGAACCGUUUGUCGUUUGUCAUGAAUAAUAAAUCAUGACGACGCAUCAAUAGUUUGUUUACUUAGUUCUAGUAUAUCGCAGGUUUGCUUUAGACGGUAGAUUUCUCUGAUGUAGGAUACAUUUAAUGCUGAAAAAAAUCGGAAAUCUUUCCAAAUUGUUGAACGGAUAUUGAUAUAUCGAAGACAUAAAUGUGCAACAUGUCGGGGUGUACGAGAUUUGUCCUGGCCAUUUUGUUCGGGAUCUGGUCAGUUUCGGGAGUGCUAGCAAUUUUUCAGAAGCUUCAGACAAAUGUUAAAUCAACGAGGGGUUUAAUAGCGAACACUACUGUGCCCUUUGUAAGUAGUUUUUACGUUAUUUGUUUUUAAAUAACAAGAAGUAACAAAAAUGAAUUUAUAUAAAAUAGUUCUUUACUGUAAAGCAAGUGAUUGUGUUCCAUGUAUACGAGUAGUCAUGGGUACCGUUAAGUUAAAAGUUUUUGUACCGAAAUGGUAACAUGACUGAAAGAAACGGAUUAUAAAAUAGUAUUAAAAAAACAAAUACUUCUGUGCAACCAGCAAGGUGAAUACGAAAUCAGUUAAUUUUGAUUUAUGAUACUUAUGAUUAAAUAAAGGUUAGAAGAUUCCAAGUGUCUUACUAUUUUUCACAAUUUCAGCACACGAUCACGCUACCGUACGGUCAAUGUAUUGAGCGGUGUUGGAGAACCUCAUCGUGCACGUUCAUGCAGUUUGACGAAAGCACGUCCCUGUGUCAGUUGUAUACCCAGGCAGUCCCAACGCCGGGGGAAGGGACGAGGCAAAUAGUCUCCAUGGCAGACUUUACUCCUGCCUUCCCCGCCUGUACCUGUGCCCCAGGCCACAUGUGUGUAGAUACGUCCGUUGGGCAACAGUGCAUACGGCUGAAGUAACGCUCACAGACAGCAACAUGGCAUGGAAGAAAUAUAUCUUGUCUUUGAAUGCCUAUUUCUGCAAACGCUCAUGGAAUAGUUUAAUUAAAAAAGAAACGAACAGUGUACCAACCAGAAAAUAUAAUGCUGUAGAAAGACCUGACAAAGACUGUUGCAUCUUCUAGAGAAAAAAAACCUUCAAUUUAAUAGAUUCCUUUUUACUUUUACUCAGUCAUGUUUCAACAAUUGAUAUUUUCAAAUAUAAAUAAACACGUACAUAUUUUAUCGGCCAAUUAUAAAGUUCUUUAUUAUUACUAUUAUUAUUAUUACUAUUAUUAUUUAUUGUUUAAAUAGAAAUAUUCAUAGGU